RNAcentral lists this ribosomal RNA (252 nucleotides) under uncultured bacterium. Its description in RNAcentral is "partial 16S ribosomal RNA". It matches the Rfam family "Bacterial small subunit ribosomal RNA", at positions 524 to 776 of the family's 1533-position model. The record is from RNAcentral.
UACGGGGGGGCAAGCGUUGUUCGGAAUUACUGGGCGUAAAGGGCCAGUAGGCGGCCAACUAAGUCCGACGUGAAAUCCCAAGGCUUAACCUUGGAACUGCGUCGGAUACUGGAUGGCUUGAGUUCGGGAGAGGGAUGCGGAAUUCCAGGUGUAGCGGUGAAAUGCGUAGAUAUCUGGAGGAACACCGGUGGCGAAGGCGGCAUCCUGGACCGACACUGACACUGAGGAGCGAAAGCCAGGGGAGCAAACGGG